GUCCUCGCCUGAUUUAUCAAAAACAUCGCCUCUUGAAAUAAAUAUAAGAGGUCCAGCCUGCCCAGUGACUCUGUUCAACGGCCGCGGUAUUCUAACCGUGCGAAGGUAGCGUAAUCACUUGUUCUUUAAAUAAGGACUAGUAUGAAUGGCAUCACGAGGGUUAUACUGUCUCCUUUUUCUAAUCAGUGAAACUAAUCUUCCCGUGAAGAAGCGGGAAUAUAUUUAUAAGACGAGAAGACCCUAUGGAGCUUUAAAUCAAAGGCAAUUAUUUUUUUACUAAAUAAUCUACUGAUGAAAAAUAAAUUUUAAUAAUAUGACCCUUAGUUUUCGGUUGGGGUGACCACGGAGUAAAAUAUAUCCUCCGCGAUGAUAUAGGAUUAACUCCUAAGUAAAAAAUUACAAUUUAAUACAUCAAUAAAUUGACACUAUUGACCCAAUAUUUUUGAUCAACGAACCAAGUUACCCUAGGGAUAACAGCGCAAUCCUCCUCAAGAGCUCAUAUCGACAGGUGGGUUUACGACCUCGAUGUUGGAUCAGGGUAUCCCAGUGGUGCAGCCGCUACUAAAGGUUCGUUUGUUCAACGAUUAAAACCCUACGUGAUCUGAGUUCAGACCGGACGG
RNAcentral lists this ribosomal RNA (620 nucleotides) under Phrynomedusa appendiculata (Santa Catarina leaf frog). RNAcentral's name for it is "partial large subunit ribosomal RNA". It matches the Rfam family "Bacterial large subunit ribosomal RNA", at positions 1792 to 2623 of the family's 2925-position model. The record is from RNAcentral. Lineage: Eukaryota; Metazoa; Chordata; Amphibia; Anura; Hylidae.